Molecule: non-coding RNA, 2943 nt
Organism: Oryctolagus cuniculus (rabbit)
Lineage: Eukaryota; Metazoa; Chordata; Mammalia; Lagomorpha; Leporidae
Source: RefSeq, a predicted model, not a curated record
GCAGGCGCCUAUUUGUGUUGUCGGCCGGCUUAUUUGUGGUUUGUGUCUCUCCAUUCUGGAUUUUGGUAGUUUGUGAGCGCUCUAGGGUUUUGGGAACUGUGCUGGUGUAGUAGCUGCUGGGACAGGGCGUGAGCCCUUCCUGGCUGUGGCCGGCAGACGUGCCCGGGGGCCACAGGCUACGGCCCUGAGGGACGCCUCAGGAGGACAAAGGAAGGCUGGGGACGCCCAGAUACUUCCGAAGGGGCAGGCGUGGAGUCUGCAUUCCCAGCACAGACGGGGUGGCCAGUAAGGCCUUCUUAUUAUUAGUCUUUUGUAGUUGUAAGGUGCUUUGUUGGUUGUCUUGUUGUUUGUUGAUUGUAUUCUCUUGUCAUUUAGCAUUGUAUGGGGCGCUGUGAUGGCUCCCAUUUGGUAGAUUUGGAAUCUGUGUUUGUAUUGCCAGCAUUGUCGCGUGACUCUGAAGUGGUUCUGGAGUCUGCAUUUGUAGGUUCUGAAGUGGUUCCGGAGCUUGCAUUUGUAUUACCGGCAUCCUCACAGGGCUCUGAGGCGGUUCCAGAGUCUGUGUUUGUAUUGCCAGCAUCAUCGCGACCAGUAGUUUAUCUCAGUUCCUCUACGGACACUUUGUGUGGUUGUUGUGUGCUGAUUCUCUACACUGUUUGUCUGUUCGUGUACAUUGUGAUGUCUGCUAACAUGGGCCAGACUGUGUCUACACCUUUGUCUCUAACUUUAAAUCAUUGGUAGGAGGUAAGCGACCUGGCACAUAACCUCUCUUUGUCAGUCAAGAAGGUAAAGUGGCAGUCUUUCUGUGCCUCUGAAUGGCCAGCUCUGGGAGUGGAUUGGCCCCCGGAGGGCUCUCCAUUUACCACUCAUUCGCCAAGUGAAAGAGGCCGUUCUCUUGCCUGGCCGUCAAGGGCACUCAGACCGGGAUUUUGAGAAGACAUCGGAGGUCAGUAUUCCUUCCCUCAAGCGGGACCGGAUCUGUGGAAGUGACCGUUGAGUGUCCGGCACCCCACAGCUCUCCGAGAACGCGGAGUCCCCCCGGCCACGGCUUAGCUACGGCCGAAACUCCAGAGGGAUUGUAAGGAAUGGGAGGGAAAUUAGGAAGGGCAGUUGGCUGAGAGUCUGGAGACCCCCUGAGCUCGCUUCGGCUUCCCGGCAGCCGGACUGUGACCCGAGCACCAGGUCUCUCUCUCGGAGGGAUGCCUGGUCACGCUGCCUACUGCUACGCGAGCAGGGCUUAGCUUCGGUCGAGGCUAAUAUUGACCCUCAGAAGGGAAGUUACUACUGUUCUGCAGGACUCUCCACUGUGACGUACGGUUUGAUCCCCAGACCUUAUUUAAGGGAUGACUGACCUUUUCUGUAAUAAUGCCUGGCCACAGUAUAGGGCCCCAAACAACAUAAAAAAAGGGGGGAGGGGUUAAACUACUAGAUCAAUUUUUCAGUGUACGCGUUAAAUGGGCAGAACUCCCCUUUUAAACCAAACUAAAAAAAUAGAUAAAAAGUUAAACUGACGACCUCAAAGUAUACAAACAGGUCACCACAGUUGAUCUUACCUAAAGGGUCAUAGUUCUCCUCAUGGGCAGGAAAAUACUAAGUGUCAGAAUUUGCCCAUGACCAUAAUUUUUCUAGCUCACCCUAAUAUUAAAAAAUCUCCAAAAAUCAGGGUUGGGUUGGGCACCCCCCUUGACUGGCAUCAUAGAGGCUGCCUCCAUGGUCCACUUUAUUAGAGACCAGUGGAAUGAGGAGCAAGCUAGCAGCAGGAGCAAUGUAUGGAUGGGCAACAGGCCAAUCAAUGGCUGCUUUACACCGUGAUCUGCCGUCAAGGAGACCCAGCAAGGCCAGUGCACCCCAAACCUGUGCACCUGUUGCUGAUAUAAGGAGCCAGGGCGUUGGGCAAGCAGCUGUCAUAACAGCAAAUGCCUUCUGUCGGCCCUGCCAAGAGCACAGCCACUGGACACGGAACUGCCCUGGGUGUCGAAGGACUCCUGGUUCAGAACCGCAGACCCUGUGGCCCUGAGCCAAAAAGCCUUUGGCUCUGCCCAGCCUCUGCCCAGCUUCCAGCUCCAGCCACUGCUACUGGGGAUGGCUUAGGGUCAGUAAAAUGUAAGUUGCCUAUUUCUAUCAGCCUCCUAUUUAACUCUCCUAGUCCAGCCAUGUAAUGCGAGUCAACAGGGUGCCUCCCUUAAAGGAGAUUUGCAUCUCUUACAAUUUUCUUAACAGCACCCCAUGGAUAGGUCUGGGCCUCACACACCCUGCCAGGCCUUAAAAGUCUAUCCAAUGGUAUUAAACUUAAAAAGCCCUCCCUGCCAGUUCCAGGGGAAAGUGGUCCCCUCCACUCCUGUACUGAGACUAUAGAUGCUUCUCUUUACACCGUGUGUUUUUAAUGCCCUUAUUUGUUUUGUCUCUAACAGACUAAAAGCUGCUAACUCCAAAUGGUCAUCAGGCAAGACUUCCAGCCCAUUCCACUGGACUACCUGAGCAGCCCUCUGGACCGAGCAGUACAGUCUUUCCAAGGCCACUGUUGCACACCAUAAGACAGGUAGCAAGAGGAAAUACCCAAAUCCCCCUCGACGCCCACAUGCCAGCUUUGAAGAAGUUACAGAAGACGGAACUCCAUCCAUAAUCCCAAAGAAGAAUUUUGGGUAUUACCUCUUGAGGAAAAAAUAUUAGGCAGAAAGUCAGUUAUGAGCUUAUGUGUGUGUGACAUAAAGGCCUAAUGUGUCCAGCAUAUGCAUCUGCAUCUCAGUCAUCCUGACAAUGUUUCACGGACAGCCCGGCCUUUGCAUCCUGCCCUGCCCCCUUCUACCUGAUAACCUGCCAGGUGGAGGUCCCCGCCCCUUCUGCCUGACAAAUCUUCCACAAUCUCCCAGAUGCAGCCCAGUAUCUGCAUUUCAGUAUUACAGAACAGGCGGGGGUUAAAUCUCAUUUUCAUGGGGGUGGGUUAUG